Molecule: non-coding RNA, 4093 nt
Organism: Camellia sinensis
Lineage: Eukaryota; Viridiplantae; Streptophyta; Magnoliopsida; Ericales; Theaceae
Source: RefSeq, a predicted model, not a curated record
UGUUAUGGCCUUUUUUUAAAAAACGUUGUUUCAAAACGAUUUUCAAAAUAUUUUGUAAGCAACUCAUUUAAAAAAGCACGCGUGCUAGGUGUAUUCACAUAUUUCUCCUUUUUUAGCCCACGCGUUUCUCUCAGUCCCGAGAUAGAUCUAGGGUUUUCUUCAUCACUCCUCUUUCGUAUGGUGAAAGUUCACUACAUUGAGCAUCGUAGGCUUCGAUUCACGAUCGUAAUCUCUAUCCGGCUCUCUCCAUCUUGGCUCAAAGCUCUCGAUCAGUCCGAUUUGAAGAUUAAUUUUGUGAGUCUCAUUUUCUAAUUUUUUGAUUUUGUUUAUGUACGCAACUCAGAUCUUUAUCUACGAUCUCAGAUCUGUAUCUACAAUCUCAGAUUUGUUUGAUAUAUAUACACUAAUUUAUUUUAAAGAGAACAUAGAUCGAUUAUCGAUCGAUCGAUUGAUCUACGAUCUCAAAGCAUAUUAACAUCCUCAAAUCGACUCUAUUUCUGACUUGUUCGUGGUGAUCUUUGUUGGUCUAUCACAUUAAUCAACAUUGAUUUCUUUCUGAAUGGUUGUGGUUUUGUACAGUACAGGUUCUGUGUGUUUUUUCUAAUGAUCUGUAAGCUUUUUCUUAUGGUGAUCUGUAAGUUUUUUCUUAUGGUGAAAGUUCACAAAAAUGUUUGUUGGUCCAUUACAUUAAUCAACAUUGACUUCAUCUUUCUGAAUGGUUGUGGUUUUGUACAGUACAAGUUCUAUGAGUGUUGGUUUUUGUGCGUAAUUGACUGGUAAAGUGCGACUGAGAAAUUUUGGAGUUUGCUUCUUCCUCUUAUAUAUGAAAAUGGAAGAUAUGACCUUGGAUAUUCUUGUUCUUGUUCUUCUCGCCUCUCAAGGAUUCAAGAAGAUAGUCACUGAAUUCCUUUAGUAAGUGGGUUUUCAAGGAUUUUGCUUGUAGUGUUGUAAAUGGGAAAACACUAGUGGACCAAAGAUAUUGAUGAGCAAAUUGGGGAUAAUCAGCCAGGCUGUGUGUGGGGUGCCCUUCAUGCCCUUGACUAUCAUCACUGGCAUUACAAUGUUAAAAAGCUGCUACCCCACAAGAAGCAUAAUGGACCAAGACAUGUGAAAGGUAAGUGAUAUGAAUUUGCACUGUGCUUUCUUCUUCUUGGUGAUUAUGGAUGACAUACAAGGUUAGAAGUCCAGAUUUGGUGCUCUAUUUAUUAUUUUGGUCUUUGUAGAACCUUUGAUUUUUCCUAACUCUUCAAUUCUAGUUACUUUUAUUAGACUCAUCAAAUACACAAAUUUAUACUUUAUGCUAAGAAUUUGUUUGGAUUUUUACUUUUUUUUCCCCCUCUUUUUCUUACUAGUUAUGUUUGGAGAUUAAUUUCCUCAAUAGAGCUACUGUGGAUAAUUUCACAUGCGGAUUCUGAUGUUAGCAUUUCUUUUCCAAACUCAUGUUCAAAUGUUUUCAUUUUUUUUUUUGGGCUGAAAAUGUUAAAUUAGAAAAGAAACUAAAGUCUGUGGAAAUUUACUCCAUUCAAUAGUUUCAACUUCCAACUAGAAAUGAUGAAUUCUGCCAUGGGAUGGUUGAAGGAGUGAGGAACUGUAACUGUUGAGAGUGGUCUAUUUUGCUUGAUUUUGAGUCCUUCAAAUAAGAGAAAUAAGAGAUCUUUUAAAGGGGUAUAAUACCCAACGGACAGGUUAAAAUGUCCAAUUUUUUUGAGCUUAUUGUAUAGUUGUUCAACUAAGUAGAUAUCGAUCAAAAAAAAAAACUAAAUAGAUAAACUUUUCUUUUGAUGCUUUUAACAGAAUUUAUAGCUAGUUCAAUCGGCAAGUUUCAUCUAUAUCUUUUGUUGUUGGAUGAUUCUCUUGCAUACGUGGUAGUUCUUUUGUGGAGUUUAAUAUAUAUUUAUCGAUUUCCUUUUCCUUUGUGCUAGGAGAUUUGAAACUAAGACUUACCCCAUCCUGUCCACCCCAUCCAUUCAUCAUUUGAGCCAAGUAACUGUAUUAUUUUGAUUCCAUGCAGUUGUGAAGGAAUGUGCAUGAGGUCGUUUCAUGCCACUGUUGAAGCUGGUUCUGAAUCCAUAUGUGAAUCUCUCUGCCUUUCUAAUGAACUAGUAGAUGUACACUAUCCUUUGGUUUCUACUUUAUAUUCUCUUUUAGCUUGCAUUGUUUUGGUUGUUAAUGCUAUUUGAUAGAUUGUUGGCACGUUCUGAAGUACAUGUGAUGUAUGUAUUUUACAAGCAAUACAAAAUUUUUUAUAUGAGAACUAUCAAAAGAAGCAGCACCAGUAUUUCUCUUGUGGGGAAUUAGGUUCUUCUGAUAAAUUGUUUGGUGCAGAGGUAGGAGUUCUUCUGGAAAAUUGAACUAAUAUUUUAAUGUUGACUAUACAUUUUCCCCAUUGGAUCUUCAUAGAAUUCUUUUUGGUUAAGUUUAGCUAUUAUCAUUAUAAAAAUUGAAGGUAUUCCAUCAAGAGCAAAAUUUAGCCACUUAGUGUUUCUAGAGCAGCAUUUAAAAUAAUCUUCUUGGUUAAAUUUCAACAAAUAUUUUGAAAUGAGAUAGAAUAAUUAUUUUAAAUUAUUAAUGAGUCAAUCAAUCCCUGGAGAUGCUUAGUGUGAAGUCAUAUUGGAUGAUUUUGUGUUGCAUAAUUCUCCUCCCCUCCCUCCCCUCCCAUCCUUCUCCUCUUUUAUGGUUUUUAUUUUCCAUGAAACUUAUAUCUUAGUCUUCAUAAUGCUGUCUGUAUGCUCGGCUCCUUUGAUCUGCUAGCUUGAGUUCCAUUAGGGUGUCUAGAUGCUUCUUGGGAUAGUUUGGUCUUGCCCUUUGUAUUUUGGAUCACUCUUUGGUUUUAUGUUCCUUAUUCUUCAUGCUAUUUUGCUUAUUUUAUUUGCUUUGUAAAGAGAUUUUGAUGGUGAUCAAUUUUUUUUAUUUUUUUCUAUUUGUUCUAGAAGUCUGGUUGUUGGGUUGUAUUUUUGUUUUUCUUUUCCCAAAGACACAGAUUAGAAAUUUGAGUUUAUUUAUGAGUCUAUUCACUUCUAUUUUCCUGAUUUGAUUUUAAUAUGUAUUUCUAGAUUAUUAAUUCCUUCUAGUUUUCAAAUAAUUGAUUAGAAUUCCAUAAUUGAGGUGAAUAUAUUAGCAUGCCAAUUCACAUUUCUAUAAUGAGUUAUGUUGCUUGACUUCCUUGACCUCAUUGUGAGCAGUGAUUGGAUUUGCAUCUGAUUUGCCCAAAAUUUUACCUUCUAAAUGCCUUGUGGAUCUUUCCCUGUGUUUCUGCAACAUGUGGUCUCUUUUACCAUCCACAUUGUGUUGCAAAACUGCUCCACCGUAAGAGUGCAGCUGAGGCAGAAGAGCUUUAGAAGAAGAUAGCUGCUGGGGAAUUUUUCACAUGUCCCAUUCAUAAAUGCAUUGUCUGCAAACUGGGUGAAAAUAAGUUGGAUCCUGAUUUGCAAUUGGCAGUUUGUAGACGUUGUCCCAAGUCGUACCACAGAAAAUGCUUGCCGGUUUGCAGACGUUGUCCCAAGUCGUACCACCGAAAAUGCUUGCCGGGAAUAUUACUUUUGAAGAUCUGGAGGAUGAGGGCAUCUUGCAAAGGGCUUGGGAAUGUCUUAUUCCAAACCGUAUUUUGAUUUAUUACUUAGAACAUGAGAUUGAUGAUGAAAUUAGAACUCCAAUUAGAAACCACAUAAAGUUCCCGGAUGAUGGACAAAAUAAGGAAAGACAAGCAUUAGAGCUACUCUUGAGCAAAAGGAAAGUUCUGCAAAAGGAGAGAACUCUGGCCUCAACAGAUGCUUCCAGAAAGAGAACUCUUGGAAAGGUAUAGAAAGGGAUGGAUUUGUCGUCAAUUACCACAGUGGAUGAUUCUUCAAAGAACAGUGCGAGAAAAUUGACUGGAUCCAAUUAUUCAAAGAAACAGAAAGUGGGGGAUAUAACCAGAAAGCCUCUGAACAACACUGGCUCUACAAAAGUUAGUAAGUCCUUCACUGAUGGAAACAAGUUUUCCUUCAGGAUUAGUGUGUACAACUUGGUCAGAAUUAUUCAAAGAAACAUAAAUUUCUUAUUUUUUUAAUUUUUGGUAAGAGCAUUUAAAUAUCUAGCUGUGCUGAUUGGUGAA